CCCUUAGAUGUUCUGGGCUGCACGCGCGCUACACUGAUGCGUUCAGCGAGUUUAUAACCUUGCCCGGUAGGGUUGGGUAAUCUUCUGAAAACGCAUCGUGAUGGGGAUAGAUUAUUGUAAUUAUUAAUCUUCAACGAGGAAUUCCUAGUAAGCGUGAAUCAUCAGUUCACGCUGAUUACGUCCCUGCCCUUUGUACACACCGCCCGUCGCUACUACCGAUUGAACGUUUUAGUGAGGCAUUUGGACCGACGCAUCUCAGUUUAACCGCUGGUUUGUGUUGGAAAGACUUCCAAACUUGAGCGUUUAGAGGAAGUAAAAGUCGUAACA
RNAcentral lists this ribosomal RNA (327 nucleotides) under uncultured eukaryote. RNAcentral's name for it is "partial 18S ribosomal RNA". It matches the Rfam family "Eukaryotic small subunit ribosomal RNA", at positions 1470 to 1796 of the family's 1831-position model. The record is from RNAcentral.